AUUGAACGCUGGCGGCAUGCCUUACACAUGCAAGUCGAACGGCAGCAUGGGUGCUUGCACCUGAUGGCGAGUGGCGAACGGGUGAGUAAUGCAUCGGAACGUACCCGGAAGUGGGGGAUAACGUAGCGAAAGUUACGCUAAUACCGCAUAUUCUGUGAGCAGGAAAGAGGGGGAUCGCAAGACCUCUCGCUUUCGGAGCGGCCGAUGUCGGAUUAGCUAGUUGGCGGGGUAAAGGCCCACCAAGGCAACGAUCCGUAGCGGGUCUGAGAGGAUGAUCCGCCACAAUGGGACUGAGACACGGACCAGACUCCUACGGGAGGCAGCAGUGGGGAAUUUUGGACAAUGGGCAACCCUGAUCCAGCCAUGCCGCGUGAGUGAAGAAGGCCUUCGGGUUGUAAAGCUCUUUCGGCUGGGAAGAAAUCGCAUCUCCUAAUACGGGGUGUGGAUGACGGUACCAGCAUAAGAAGCACCGGCUAACUACGUGCCAGCAGCCGCGGUAA
RNAcentral lists this ribosomal RNA (500 nucleotides) under uncultured bacterium. RNAcentral describes it as "partial 16S ribosomal RNA". It matches the Rfam family "Bacterial small subunit ribosomal RNA", at positions 30 to 523 of the family's 1533-position model. The record is from RNAcentral.